This 906-nucleotide long non-coding RNA is filed under the name Capsicum annuum. RNAcentral's name for it is "long non-coding RNA (CANN_LNC015559)". Lineage: Eukaryota; Viridiplantae; Streptophyta; Magnoliopsida; Solanales; Solanaceae. The record is from RNAcentral.
CACAUUCAUUUAAACAUGAUAAAGAACUUCGUUCACCCACAAAAUCUUACCAAAAUUCACAAUAUACCCAUACACAAUAACAACAACAAACGCUACAACAGCGUACAACAUGAAGGUUAACAGACAAAAACGUUAACAGCAAAAUAAACAACGCCAAAUAACGCACAGCAGCAACGGCACACAGCCCUCACGACACCAAAUUUCAUUGCACAUAAAUCUUAUGUCCCUUGAGUCUCUACAGCAAACAAUCCCAGCAACAUUAUUAUUACGAUAACGCUAACAAAGAAAUAAUUACGAUAAAAGAAACCGAAAGAGAAUGAUGUUUACCUUUCCCCGGGCAGCGAAUCAGAACAGCGAGUCGAUGACGACUUCCAAUCGGAGUUUAAAUUUCAAAUUUUUGGAAUUUAAUUUCCGUCGGAAUUGAGUUUUUGAGUACGUUUCUUCAAGAAUCUUAUGGGUUACAUAGGAUUAAAAGCACGCGCCUCAUGAAUCCUCAAUUUUUCCUCCAAAAAAUCCUCCUUCCUUCACUCUACGGACAUGGGUAUUUAUAGGGGAUUUGACAGACUUUGGGGGAAACUGAGGGGUAAAAAGGGAAAAAUGAAUUGAUAUUUGAAUUUUAAAAAUUGAGAUGAGGUUGCUGAGCUGCUUUUGCCAUUGUUGUACUGUUGUUGCGUUUAUAUUGUUUCUGUUAUCGCAGUUGUCGUUGAAAGUUGUUGUUGUCAUUUGUGUUGAAAUUGUUGUUCUGGAUUGCUGACUGCUGUUGAAGUUGGAAUUGUUUUGCGUUGAUGGUUUGCUGAAACUGGUGUUGGAUGGGUCGGGUUUUGUCCGUUGAAAUUGUUGUUCUUGAAAUUGUUGGCUGUUAUUGUUGGUUUUUGUAGGCUGAGGGGAUAUAAGGGGAAAGGGAAC